GGGAGCGAACCGGAUUAGAUACCCGGGUAGUCCACGCUGUAAACGAUGAUUGCUAGGUUUUCGGGGCAUCGACCCCUCGUGAGCCGAAGUUAACGCGUUAAGCAAUCCGCCUGAGUAGUACGGCCGCAAGGCUAAAACUCAAAGGAAUUGACGGGGGACCGCACAAGCAGCGGAGCGUGUGGUUUAAUUCGAUGGUAAGCGAAGAACCUUACCAGGGUUUGACAUGUAAGUAGUACUGAACCGAAAGGGAAUGGACCCGCAAGGGAGCUUACACAGGUGUUGCAUGGUUGUCGUCAGCUCGUGCCGUGAGGUGUUGGGUUAAGUCCCGCAACGAGCGCAACCCUCUUUGUUAGUUGCACUCUCUAACGAUACUGCCCUUAAAAGGGAGGAAGGUGGGGAUGACGUCAAAUCAUCAUGGCUCUUACACCCUGGGCUACACACACGCUACAAUGGCAAGUACAGACGGUCGCCAACCCGCGAGGGGGAGCUAAUCCGAUAAAACUUGUCUCAGUUGGGAUUGCAGGCUGAAAUUCGCCUGCAUGAACGUGGAGUUGCUAGUAAACGCAGGUCAGCACACUGCGUUGAAUACGUUCCCGGUCCUUGUACACACCGCCCGUCACGUCAUGGAAGUUGGUAACACUUGAAGUCGUUGCGCUAACCCUUUGGGAGGCAGACGCCGAGAGUGGGACUGAUGACUGGGACGAAGUCGUAACAAGGUAGCUGUACCGGAAGGUGCGGCUG
RNAcentral lists this ribosomal RNA (741 nucleotides) under marine metagenome. Its description in RNAcentral is "bacterial SSU rRNA". It matches the Rfam family "Bacterial small subunit ribosomal RNA", at positions 764 to 1520 of the family's 1533-position model. The record is from RNAcentral.